AGUAGGUGGGGUAACGGCUCACCUAGGCGACGAUCCCUAGCUGGUCUGAGAGGAUGACCAGCCACACUGGAACUGAGACACGGUCCAGACUCCUACGGGAGGCAGCAGUGGGGAAUAUUGCACAAUGGGCGCAAGCCUGAUGCAGCCAUGCCGCGUGUAUGAAGAAGGCCUUCGGGUUGUAAAGUACUUUCAGCGGGGAGGAAGGGAGUAAAGUUAAUACCUUUGCUCAUUGACGUUACCCGCAGAAGAAGCACCGGCUAACUCCGUGCCAGCAGCCGCGGUAAUACGGAGGGUGCAAGCGUUAAUCGGAAUUACUGGGCGUAAAGCGCACGCAGGCGGUUUGUUAAGUCAGAUGUGAAAUCCCCGGGCUCAACCUGGGAACUGCAUCUGAUACUGGCAAGCUUGAGUCUCGUAGAGGGGGGUAGAAUUCCAGGUGUAGCGGUGAAAUGCGUAGAGAUCUGGAGGAAUACCGGUGGCGAAGGCGGCCCCCUGGACGAAGACUGACGCUCAGGUGCGAAAGCGUGGGGAGCAAACAGGAUUAGAUACCAUGGUAGUCCACGCCGUAAACGAUGUCGACUUGGAGGUUGUGCCCUUGAGGCGUGGCUUCCGGAGCUAACGCGUUAAGUCGACCGCCUGGGGAGUACGGCCGCAAGGUUAAAACUCAAAUGAAUUGACGGGGGCCCGCACAAGCGGUGGAGCAUGUGGUUUAAUUCGAUGCAACGCGAAGAACCUUACCUGGUCUUGACAUCCACGGAAGUUUUCAGAGAUGAGAAUGUGCCUUCGGGAACCGUGAGACAGGUGCUGCAUGGCUGUCGUCAGCUCGUGUUGUGAAAUGUUGGGUUAAGUCCCGCAACGAGCGCAACCCUUAUCCUUUGUUGCCAGCGGUCCGGCCGGGAACUCAAAGGGGACUGCCAGUGAUAAACUGGAGGAAGGUGGGGAUGACGUCAA
RNAcentral lists this ribosomal RNA (948 nucleotides) under uncultured Gammaproteobacteria bacterium. Its description in RNAcentral is "bacterial SSU rRNA". It matches the Rfam family "Bacterial small subunit ribosomal RNA", at positions 247 to 1188 of the family's 1533-position model. Lineage: Bacteria; Pseudomonadati; Pseudomonadota; Gammaproteobacteria. The record is from RNAcentral.